GUCUACGGCCACGCCACCCCGAACGUGCCCGAUCUCUGCUCUCGGAAGCUAAGCAGGGUCGGGCCUGGUUAGUACUUGGAUGGGAGACCCCCUAGGAAGACCAGGUGCUGUAGGCA
RNAcentral lists this ribosomal RNA (116 nucleotides) under Pteropus alecto (black flying fox). Lineage: Eukaryota; Metazoa; Chordata; Mammalia; Chiroptera; Pteropodidae. The record is from RNAcentral.